Molecule: long non-coding RNA, 804 nt
Organism: Tachyglossus aculeatus (Australian echidna)
Lineage: Eukaryota; Metazoa; Chordata; Mammalia; Monotremata; Tachyglossidae
Exons: 3
Source: RefSeq, a predicted model, not a curated record
UGGGAAACAGACGAGGAGGAGGAGCGGCUGGGGGUCGAUGCUCGAAUCCACGGGCUCAGUCAGAAAAUAAACCCUGCUGGUCUCGUUCCCUCCAACAGUCGGUCAUCUGAUUCCCGGUGAAGCAGAUGAGGCUCCUGUUCCCAAAGCACCCCGACGAAGUCGAGCGGGAGCCACCCCCAGUGGGCCCUGGGGAUAUGACGCUCGGCAGAACCUUUUCUAGAGCACCGAGUCACCCUCCGCCACGGCUCACAGAGGGGUGCCGGCAUCCCUAGGUGGGGGCUCUGGACCGGGAAAGCUCCAUGGAGGCACUGAGGUGCCACAAUGCUCUGCACACAAACAGAACACAGAGAAUUCACACCAGGAAUGCAAGAUCAAGUUUCAGAAGGCCUCUUUUCUGAUUCAGUCAAGCUGAUGAAGAAAACAGUUAAUCCCCCAAAGGCAUCACCAGCUAAACUUCAUCAAGAAUAAGUCAUUCACUUAUAAUGAACGACUAAUUACAGGAAGAAAUACGAACUUCAUUUUGGCUAGCAGGAGGAUUUAUGGAAUAUCGUGUAAGUCAAUUUCAAUUUCUUACUGUUACAAUGUGUAUAUACAUAGAAGAAAUGACAGCACAUGAAAAAUAGCCACAAUUAGAACGUGUUGAAACUCAGAAAUUCCAUGUGCAGAAAAAAUAGUGAUCUUCAGAAAUAUUAAAAAUUGCAAGACCUUCAGACAAACCUGAGGACUUGUGCUAAAGAUGAGUAGGCAGGUACAUCUUUAAGUUAGGAUGGUUGAUGUGUAAUCAGUCCUUUUUCUGUUUUUUUU